This 429-nucleotide ribosomal RNA is filed under the name Chloroflexota bacterium. RNAcentral describes it as "Chloroflexi bacterium partial 16S ribosomal RNA". It matches the Rfam family "Bacterial small subunit ribosomal RNA", at positions 355 to 776 of the family's 1533-position model. The record is from RNAcentral. Lineage: Bacteria; Bacillati; Chloroflexota.
UGGGGAAUAUUGCACAAUGGGCGCAAGCCUGAUGCAGCCAUGCCGCGUGUAUGAAGAAGGCCUUCGGGUUGUAAAGUACUUUCAGCGGGGAGGAAGGGAGUAAAGUUAAUACCUUUGCUCAUUGACGUUACCCGCAGAAGAAGCACCGGCUAACUCCGUGCCAGCAGCCGCGGUAAUACGGAGGGUGCAAGCGUUAAUCAGAAUUACUGGGCGUAAAGCGCACGCAGGCGGUCUGUCAAGUCGGAUGUGAAAUCCCCGGGCUCAACCUGGGAACUGCAUUCGAAACUGGCAGGCUAGAGUCUUGUAGAGGGGGGUAGAAUUCCAGGUGUAGCGGUGAAAUGCGUAGAGAUCUGGAGGAAUACCGGUGGCGAAGGCGGCCCCCUGGACAAAGACUGACGCUCAGGUGCGAAAGCGUGGGGAGCAAACAGG